Molecule: ribosomal RNA, 951 nt
Filed under: Pseudolabrus sieboldi
Lineage: Eukaryota; Metazoa; Chordata; Actinopteri; Labriformes; Labridae
Description: partial 16S rRNA
Rfam family: Bacterial large subunit ribosomal RNA (bases 190-951)
Source: RNAcentral
CGCCCAAAAGCUAGCCCGCCUCAUCACAACCAACAAACCACUAUUUAUAAACCCUCACGCACUAAACAUGCUUAAACAAACCAUUUUACCAUCCUAGUAUGGGAGACAGAAAGGAGCCUACGGCGCUAUAAAGAAAGUACCGCAAGGGACUGCUGAAAGAGAAAUGAAACAACCCAGUGAAGCUUAGAAAAGCAGAGAUUACCCCUCGUACCUUUUGCAUCAUGAUUUAGUUAGUAAAAUUUAAGCAAAACUUGUUUUAGUUUAAAACCCCGAAACUAAGUGAGCUACUCCAAGACAGCCUGUCAACUAGGGCACACCCUUCUCUGUGGCAAAAGAGUGGGAAGAGCUUCGAGUAGCGGUGACAGACCUACCGAACUUAGUUAUAGCUGGUUGCUUGAGAGAUGGAUAGGAGUUCAGCCUUUAGGCUUCUUCCUUCAACUUGGUAUUACCACCACUCGUUGUACAAGAAACCUAGGGAGUUAGUCAAAGGGGGUACAGCCCCUUUGAAAAAAGACACAACUUUCCCAGGAGGAUAAAGAUCAAAAUAAAAAAGGACAAAAUGUUAGGGUGGGCCUAAAAGCAGCCAUCCCUGCGGAAUGCGUUAAAGCUCAGACAUUUUAAUUAAUCCUUCGAUCCCGAUAACUUUACCUUAACCCCUACGAUUAUCAAGCCGUCCCAUGCCGCCAUGGGAGCGAUCCUGCUAACAUGAGUAAUAAGAGGGCCCCGGCCCUCUCCCAAGCACAAGUGUACAUCGGAACGAACCGCCACCGAAACUUAACGGCCCCAAUAGAAGAGGGCACUGGACAACAAAAAACCACACCAGAAAAAUAUCCAGGAACUAACCGUUAACCCCACACUGGUGUGCCUAAAGGGAAAGGCUAAAAGAGAAAGAAGGAACUCGGCAAACACCUGAAGCCUCGCCUGUUUACCAAAAACAUCGCCUCUUGCAAA